UGACCUUACUAUCAGCUUUAACUAAAUUUACACAUGCCAGUCUCCGCACCCCUGUGAGGAUGCCCUUAAUCCCCUGCCCGGGGCUGAGGAGCUGGCAUCAGGCACACAUUGUAGCCCAAGACGCCUUGCUAAGCCACACCCCUACGGGUACUCAGCAGUGAUAAAUAUUAAGUGAUAAGCGAAAGCUUGACUUAGUUAUUGUUAAAAGGGCCGGUAAAACUCGUGCCAGCCACCGCGGUUAUACGAGAGGCCCUAGUUGAUAAUUGUCGGCGUAAAGAGUGGUUUAGAAAAUAAUUUAAUAAAGCCGAACACCUCCUCAGUUGUUAUACACAUUUGAAGAUAUGAAGCCCUACCGCGAAAGCAGCUUUAAGUAUCCUGAACCCACGACAGCUAUGGUACAAACUGGGAUUAGAUACCCCACUAUGCAUAGCCAUAAAUUUUGAUAAAAAUAUACAAUUUUAUCCGCCAGGGAACUACAAGCAUCAGCUUAAAACCCAAAGGACUUGGCGGUGCUUCAGACCCACCUAGAGGAGCCUGUUCUAUAACCGAUAACCCCCGCUUAACCUCACCAGCCCUUGUUCACCCCGCCUAUAUACCACCGUCGCCAGCUUAUCCUGUGAAGGUCCCAUAAUAAGCAAAAUGGGUAAAACCCAGAACGUCAGGUCGAGGUGUAGCGCAUGAGCUGGGAAGAAAUGGGCUACAUUUUCUAAUUCAGAAUAUACGAACUACACUGUGAAACCAGUGCCCAAAGGUGGAUUUAGCAGUAAACAGAAAAUAGAGUGUUCUCUUGAAACUGGCUCUGAAGCGCGCACACACCGCCCGUCACUCUCUCCAAGUUCAACCCUAUUAUUAAAUAAAAAAUAUAUCGAACAAAGGAGAGGCAAGUCGUAACAUGGUAAGUGUACCGGAAGGUGCACUUAGUUUAAUCAGAGUGUAGCUAAAUAGAAAAGCACCUCCCUUACACUGAGAAGACACCUGUGCAAAUCAGGUCACCCUGAGCUGAUUAGCUCGCCGACACACCCGGAUUAAAACCCCAACAUAUAUACCCCAACAAACCUUUAAAAAAAUCAACAAACCAUUUUUCCUCCUUAGUAUAGGCGAUAGAAAAGGAAAUACCGAGCAAUAGAAAAAGUACCGUAAGGGAAAGCUGAAAAAGAAGUGAAACAAGUCAUCAAGCCUGAAA
Molecule: non-coding RNA, 1183 nt
Filed under: Esox lucius (northern pike)
Lineage: Eukaryota; Metazoa; Chordata; Actinopteri; Esociformes; Esocidae
Description: partial small subunit ribosomal RNA
Rfam family: Bacterial small subunit ribosomal RNA (bases 1-933)
Source: RNAcentral